Acanthopagrus latus (yellowfin seabream) is the source of this 3020-nucleotide long non-coding RNA. RefSeq lists it as uncharacterized. The record is from RefSeq and is a predicted model, not a curated record. NCBI's taxonomy places the organism in Eukaryota, Metazoa, Chordata, Actinopteri, Spariformes, Sparidae. The transcript has 2 exons.
CCUCCGUCUUCCUCGGCAUCCUUUCAAGCUUAUUGACAUCCAUAAGGAUCCACUGAAAACGCUGUAGUUCAUCGUCCAGGCCUCUAGGUGGCGCUUGAAAUUCACCAAAAACAGAGAGGAAGAGACGGAGCAUGCGCAGAAAGCUUGCGCUGCAUACAAACAGAUGGAGAAACCGAACACAACUAGAUGAAGACAACAAUGGCAAGUGCAAGGAAACCAGAAUCACUUGUGUGGAUCGAUAAUGAGGUCGAACUGCUGCUGCGACUCACACUCAACUACAAGGCGAGUAAGUAGCAAGAAACACGAACACAAGCAGUAGUCCGCCAUUGUUGUUGUUGUUGUUGUUGAUAUGCUAUGCCGCAAAGUUCAGAGGUCGAGGGGUGGAGCGAUGGCGUUUUCGGAUUUUUCCACCCUGAUACCCGGUUUAAAAAAAGUGUGUUUUCAAGCGCUGCGAUUAAAGGAACAAUGUGGACGAUGGGCCAAAACGAUGCAAAACAUGUGCUUACACUAAAGAGCGUUUCAGUAUGGACGGGGCCUCAGCAACCAGCUACUUUUACACGGUGGUCCAAAAUAAGUAAGAGUGUUGCAAUACUUUCGUUAUCCUGUUUUUUUUUUUUUUAUUUCGUGUUGACUCUCAACCCAACACCCCCCUCAAAAGUCAACACGUAUGCAGCAGCCUUCAGUGUUACUCUCACCUUGUGUCGGACAUUAAAGACUUUUCUCUCACUGUCUGCAGCUUUGAACAGGCCGUCUCUGCUGCUGUCCCGCUGACCACUUGAUCACAGGCGUGAUUUGUAGUUGAUGGUUACACCGCACGCUCUCCGUGUCUCCUCUCCAGCCGAUCACCACGAGAUUUAAGAUGCCCCCUGCGUUUUUUUUUUUUUUUUUAGUUAAGCACAGACGGCACCCUCCCCACCACCACCACCACCACCCCGAAGCUGUGAGCUGUGAGCUCUCAGCCGCCUGGAGCUCUUUAUUUUUUUCGUGGCACGCUGCCCUGAGGAUAUUUUAGUGCUGGGGGAUAGGCGGGCAUGUGCCAGAGUGUGCCGGGAAGAGGCUGUUUUUUAUUUUUUUAUUUUCAGCAGCUAAUGAGUUAAAAUCAGCUGUCAUUGAGGUAGAAAUGUGCACUGAAUGUACCUUAAAUCUGUGUCAUUUAGUUUAUUUUAAUCAGGAUUACUGUGUUUUUUACCUGCUUUUUUUAAUUGGUCUGUGUUUCCAACCUUUUUUCAUCACACCUCUUACAUGGCUUGGUCAACUUAACAUUGAAAGAAAUGUGAUGUUUCACUUAUUUAUUGUUUACUUUCUACUUAAUUUAAACUUUUGUUUUUCUGUGUUAACUCAUUUUAAGCACUCUCAGUUGCAAUGCAUGGUGUUCAAACAUUGGACUAUGAGGCAUGUCCUGGUUAUCGUGCCGAUAAAUACACAAAAGCCACAAGGUGACACUGUAGCACAUGGAUCCAAGGGCAGCGCCGGGGCCCCUCAACAAAAUACCAGCUCCCCUGCAAGUUGAUCCCAUCCUGGUGUAAUGAGCAACCACCUCUCUCUCGUUGAAUAUUUACAUCCCAAUAAGAGAUGAAUGAUUUCAGAGCAGCAGUGCAGCAGUGCUUGUUUCUCUCCCUCCCUCUCUUUCAAGGAAAUUGCCCGACUUCAGCAGGAAGUUUUUUUUUUUCUAAUGCGGGGCGAAGGGCGCCUUGUAAAUUAGGGGGGCGAAGGUACCAAGAGUGGAUCUGAUGGACUUCCAAAUGAGGGCUGAAACUGGACCAGACUUUACUCCAGACAAUCUGCUUUGAUCUCCCAAUCUCCCCUGUGAUACCCAGCGCUGGGAAAGCCUCCUCUACACCUUGUAGCCCUAAAGCAGAUGAGGCAGGAGGGUUUCACUACCAUCCAACACCCCCCCCCACCCCCACCCCCCCCACCCCCACCCCCACCCCCACACACACACCCUUCCUCAUCCUCCUCCUCUCCACACUGCCCAUCUUUCCUUUACACACACACACAUUCACCAUCCACACCCACACUGGACCCUCUUUUGAAAGUCUGCGGCUUGAUUUAAAAUUCCUUCUUCAGAGCGUGUCAUGCAUUUUAUAUGCAUGGCGAGUGGGAGAAGAAGAGGAGGGAUUGCGUGGGGCUCCAGCCCAAAUGAACUUCCCUACGCUGUUGGUCUCCUCAGGGAUACACACACACACACACACACACUUCUUUCUUUCACUCCCCUCAUUUUCUCGCACCCACUCAACUCUUUCAACAUUAGUUUUACCGCAUCAUGCUUUUUCACAAAUUCCACCGAGCAGCAAGAGUGCCUUGGCCCUUUGAAGACAAGUGUGAUCAGAACAGAGGCAAGGGGUGUGUAAAGAGAGAGAGAGAGAGAGAGAGAGAGAGAGAGAGAGAGAGAGAGAGAGAGAGAGAAAAAAAAAAACCUGGCCGCGGGGCAUUUGGGUUUUUUUUUUUUUUUUUUCUUGCACUCGUGUUUAGCAGCGUAUGGAGCAGAAGGAGGGAGGCUGACAAGUGCAGUGUUUGGGGACAGCUUUGAUGUCUGACGGGGCGCGGCUGCUGCUCAGGCUCAGUCCUUCACAAGGAGACUUGUCACGUUUGACACAGCCGGGCUUGUAUAUUUACACUCCCCCCCCCCAGCGGCUUCUGGAUUGAUAACGGAUAAUCAACAAAAAAGAGCACCGUCGAUAUACUCUUCUCUCCAUUCUAAACAUCUCUUAUUCUCUUUCUGUCUUGCUGACAAGCUCGGAUGAAGCUGAGAAUCAAUAACCCCAAAAAAAAAAAAAAAAGCAGACGUAACAUGAACUUGGACUGCUUUGAGAAAUCUGGUUUUAUUAGGAACAAUAUGAUCCCGCUAGCUUAUUGUGGAUAUAGCAGUAAACAACAGAAAAAAACACGAUUCACUUUUUUUUUGUUUUAAGUGCUACAGGUUUUUUGUGAUUAUAGACGGUAAAACAGUACAGCAACCAUAGUGCCUACAUUCAUAUAUGCACAGAGAAUAUCAAAAAAAUAAAAUAAAUUACAGUAUA